GCCAGCAGCUAUAUCACCCUGCAGCUCUCAGCCAGCUACCCACCCAAGCUCAGCAGGGUUGAGCCUGGUCAGUACCUGGAUGGGAGGACUCUUGGGAUGCUAUGGUUGCUGCUGGAA
Molecule: ribosomal RNA, 117 nt
Filed under: Lepisosteus oculatus (spotted gar)
Lineage: Eukaryota; Metazoa; Chordata; Actinopteri; Semionotiformes; Lepisosteidae
Source: RNAcentral